This 492-nucleotide ribosomal RNA is filed under the name uncultured bacterium. RNAcentral describes it as "partial 16S ribosomal RNA". It matches the Rfam family "Bacterial small subunit ribosomal RNA", at positions 29 to 507 of the family's 1533-position model. The record is from RNAcentral.
AGUGAACGCUGGCGGUAGGCCUAACACAUGCAAGUCGAACGGCAGCACAGUAAGAGCUUGCUCUUACGGGUGGCGAGUGGCGGACGGGUGAGGAAUACAUCGGAAUCUACUUUUUCGUGGGGGAUAACGUAGGGAAACUUACGCUAAUACCGCAUACGACCUACGGGUGAAAGCAGGGGAUCUUCGGACCUUGCGCGAUUGAAUUAGCCGAUGUCGGAUUAGCUAGUUGGCGGGGUAAAGUCACACCAAGUCGACGAUCCGUAGCUGGUCUGAGAGGAUGAUCAGCCACACUGGAACUGAGACACGGUCCAGACUCCUACGGGAGGCAGCAGUGGGGAAUAUUGGACAAUGGGCGAAAGCCUGAUCCAGCCAUACCGCGUGAGUGAAGAAGGCCUUCGGGUUGUAAAGCCCUUUUGUUGGGAAAGAAAAGAAGCAGGUUAAUACACCGAUGUUCUGACGGUACCCAAAGAAUAAGCACCGGCUAACUUCGUG